UUACUCUUCUACUUCGUUGCACUUGCCGCCUUCAGAUCUCACUUUGCAAUCAUUCUUGAAGGGAUUGACAACCCCUUUAUAGCUUGGGUGCAAGCUCUUUUGUGUUUGCGCAGGUACUCUGGACUUGACGAGAUUCUCCUACUGGAUUGAUACCUUGGUUCUCAAACUGAGGGAAAUACUUACUGCUCCUGUGCUGCAUCACCCUUUCCUCUUCAAGGGAAAAACCAAC
This 229-nucleotide long non-coding RNA is filed under the name Hordeum vulgare. RNAcentral describes it as "long non-coding RNA (HVUL_LNC003324)". Lineage: Eukaryota; Viridiplantae; Streptophyta; Magnoliopsida; Poales; Poaceae. The record is from RNAcentral.